CUUUUGUAAUUUAUAAAAAAAUACUACUUUUUCACUGUAGAAAAGAGUUUCAUCCAAAAGAAAUA
Molecule: transfer RNA, 65 nt
Filed under: Calophya californica
Lineage: Eukaryota; Metazoa; Arthropoda; Insecta; Hemiptera; Calophyidae
Description: tRNA-Glu
Source: RNAcentral